Molecule: long non-coding RNA, 549 nt
Organism: Dreissena polymorpha
Lineage: Eukaryota; Metazoa; Mollusca; Bivalvia; Myida; Dreissenidae
Exons: 3
Source: RefSeq, a predicted model, not a curated record
CGGUAUAGUACCAGAAAGGCCGUUGACCAAGAACCUUCUCAAAAAGGCCGCAAAAAAAGCAUAAGUGAACCAAAUAGGCGUUGUUGGGAAACCAUCAUCAACUGGAGAUAAGCCGAUUUCCACAAGAACCAGCUUUUCUGCUUUUGAAGCUGGAAUUUUUCUGGAAAUGUUGGCUGCCAAAUGUAGUUGGAGCAGUAGACGAGACUGUAAAUCUAAUUAUAAAACCAGCUGAAUCUGAAGAAGCUGAUGUGUGCAGGAAAGGGUUUAUUAACAUUACUGAGCAGCUGUCAUUGAUGCCAACAUGAGAUGCCUGCAUCGCACUGGUGGAUGCCUGCCUUUUCAAGCCAAAUGAGUGCUGUGAAACAGCAAAAAUUUGCAUGCGCCUGCACAAACUGUGCUUGGAAUUAUUCAUUCCGCUGAUAGAGGUAGAAGUUUUGGACAUGAUGGAUCCUGCGGUUACAAAUAACGCACUAGUAAAGAGAGCAGCAGUCAAUAAGAGGCAGCAGCUGAUUGAAAAUGUCGUAAAGUGAUACUUAUAUAUAGGACCUG